This 76-nucleotide microRNA precursor is filed under the name Anopheles gambiae (African malaria mosquito). RNAcentral describes it as "microRNA aga-mir-306 precursor". Its record names the gene aga-mir-306. Lineage: Eukaryota; Metazoa; Arthropoda; Insecta; Diptera; Culicidae. RNAcentral also lists the same sequence under 1 other name. The record is from miRBase by way of RNAcentral.
UCACAUGGUCAGGUACUGGAUGACUCUCAGUUGUGUGUAAAAGAUGCUGAGGGCCUUCUGGUACCUACCCCAGUGA